CCAAGGAGUUUAGCGUGUACGCGAGUCAUUGAGUGGCAAAACUCAAAGGCGAAAUGAAAGUGAAGGGAACUUUACGUUUCUGAGGGAAGAUGAGACGGUUUCUUUAUAGAGCCUCUCCGCACUCCCCGGGGCGUCUCUAUCUCAUUGCGAGAGGAGGCGCACCUAUAGCGUACACGCUGAUACCCGAAAGAUGGUGAACUAUGCCUGGCCAGGACGAAGCCAGGGGAAACCCUGGUGGAGGUCCGCAGCGAUUCUGACGUGCAAAUCGAUCGUCGGAGCUGGGUUUAGGGGCGAAAGACCAAUCGAACCAUCUAGUAGCUGGUUCCCUCUGAAGUUUCCCUCAGGAUAGCUUGCGCUCGGACGGAACGAGUCUCAUCCGGUAGAGCGAAUGAUUAGAGGCCUUGGGGUCGAAACGACCUCAACCUAUUCUCAAACUCCAAAUAGAUGAGAACCCUGGCUUUCUUAAAUUAUGAAGCCCACGGGGUUUCCGGAUCAGAGU
This 499-nucleotide ribosomal RNA is filed under the name Pseudopsallus viridicans. RNAcentral describes it as "eukaryotic LSU rRNA". It matches the Rfam family "Eukaryotic large subunit ribosomal RNA", at positions 666 to 1127 of the family's 3401-position model. The record is from RNAcentral. Lineage: Eukaryota; Metazoa; Arthropoda; Insecta; Hemiptera; Miridae.